GGCCUACAUUCUUUCAAAUGAAAUCACACUAAUCCGUGCAUACACGUGUAUUGCACACUGAUGAAAUUGCUCAUUAAAAAGAUUAUUUAUAAUUACAUUUAUAGUUAUUUGUGAGGUGACUUUUUUUUUCUUUAGACAUAUGAUCAGUUCAUUGUUACGUGCUUGGGUACAACGCCAACAACGUUUCAGCAGCACGUGGACCUGUGAACGCGGGAGAACAGCAGAGCGUGCAGGCCUGAUGGUGAACCCUAAGAAGCUGCCAUGUUAGAGCUGCUGCAGGCCCCGGUUCUGUGGGAAUAGCAAAAUGAACGCCAUUACACCUGACAGCAUAUUCAGUUCCUCAGACAUCAUUGUGACAGACCUGGUCCCAUGAUCGGCCUAAUAAUUAAAGCUAUCCUGCAACCGGCGCCGUACUGCUGUGCUGCAUGCGCAUCAGGGGCCCAUGACAUGAUACAGAGGGACAGCUUAACUAUUAAAUAUCCAUCACGCCACGCCACAUCAGUCCUAAUGCAAUCAGAAACACAUGACUACAUCGCCCGGGCCCCCACUUCAAUCCACAAUGAUUAAAUGACAGUUCGAUUUGAUUGGGAAGAGGGGGGAUCUACUGUAGCUGCGCAGACUUAUUCGAGGCUUUGUGUACUUCAGAGAGAACGCACGUGGGCUGUGGUCUUUUUGCUGUAUUAUCAUUUUAAUGAAGCAGGGUAUUUCUUUUGUGGUCGGGAGGCUCUAAUGCAGUUGUCCAAGACUCCCCUUUCAUCUGUCUUCUUCAAAUGCUCGAGGUUGUUAAACAAAUGGAUGUGUCUGAGUAUAUAACGCUGAUGUGGCCAGGCUGUUGUUGACUGGGCCAAUUAGGGCUCAGAGAGAAAAGAAUAAGGCAUGUCUGUUCACUCACUCAAACCGUCAUACAAUACAGUCUGGCUGCUUUGUGUUUAUUAAAAUCACCUGGAUCCUUAAGGAUUUUGUAGAACACACCGUAGUAUGACAUUGCUAUCUGACGAUUUUCAUUAUCAGGACUUCCUGUACUGUUUUUAUCUUGCUAAUUAGCAUCUAAUUAUAAUAAAAAUGUUUUCCUCGUACCUGAUAUGUCAUGAAUUACCCGAUACCGUUGUCUCCGUGUUUAAAUGAGUGAGCAUCUUUAGAAAAAUGUUUAAUUUUACACCCAAGAGAUGAUAAUGAUGCAUACCUGUUUUCUUUAGUCGUAAUGAGAAUGCUGAAAUACGACAACGCUGAUUUCUCAAUGUGCUAAUUACUGAGCAAGUGCUGAUGCGCUAGUGGCUAAAGAUGUAUCCAAGUAAUAUUGUCAGUCAUGUUCUUUUCCAUAACGUCCACAACAAAAAUAGUUUUUGAAGAAAUAUGGUAGUUACGCUUUAAAAUAUAACAUUUUGAAAAUAAAUAGCAAGAAUUGCAUUAAAACAAUUUAAGAGUGUUAAUUUCAUUCAAUAAAUGCAAAUUUGAUGUUUAUUUAUUAAAGUUAAAUGCACUCAUAGUGGUUGUUCGCUCUUUGUAAUUGUAAUUCAUUUGUCUCCUUAUUCCCACUCUUUGAGCUUAGUAAAAAUAUAUUCCUUGUAUUUGGUUUUGCAGACAUAAUAUAUAUAUUUUUUUUUUGUAACAUAAAAUACAUAAUUUUUAACUGUUUUCUCCUUCAGAAGUUUAAUACGUUUUGUGGCUGUUUUAAGAUCUGAUUUGAUAGCAGUAUUAAAAAGUAAAAAAUUGUUCCUGGUUGUAUGAAUAUCUCUAGACAAGACAGAGGAAAGGUCUAAUGAAGGAAAGCAGAGUGCAAAUAUGUACAUUUAGCAUAAAUAUUCUGUUUUAUUAUUGUUUUUGUAUUUUUUUUUUUUUCCAUGCUUUUAACAGUUGUCUUGCUUGGUGGUGUUUACAUAUAAUCUCAUGUCCCUUUUGAAGGCAGUCCUUCCUUGUUUGUAAAAUAAAUUUGUAUUGACUAAUAUUGGUAUGUAAAUAUAAAAUAUAACAGUUCACAUUAUAGAGCUUUUGAGUACGCUGUUACAUGUAUGACAUACCACCUUUGUAUACUUACAUUUACUUUUCACAUGAUUAAGUUAUAAAUGUAAUUGACACUAUAAUAUGACUAAUAAGAUAUUUGACAGAAUUUAUUAAAACGAUUUUCUAAAUAAAUGAAUGAAACCAAAGAAG
This is a long non-coding RNA of Cyprinus carpio (common carp), 2151 nucleotides long. RefSeq lists it as uncharacterized. NCBI's taxonomy places the organism in Eukaryota, Metazoa, Chordata, Actinopteri, Cypriniformes, Cyprinidae. The record is from RefSeq and is a predicted model, not a curated record.